Non-coding RNA from Cinara cedri, 737 nucleotides. Lineage: Eukaryota; Metazoa; Arthropoda; Insecta; Hemiptera; Aphididae. The record is from the annotation of a GenBank genome assembly.
AGGCAUUAGUACAAUGGUACAUAAUGUUAACGGUACAUUAGUUAAUUGUACAUAUAAAUUUGUUCGCUAAUUGACUGAUUGUUUACUUAUUGAAUCAGUUUUUAAAAUAGAAAAAAAAUAUGCUGUUUAUUAUAGUAAGUAGGUAUAUAGUAGACAAAAUUGCAGUAAAACAAAACUAAAUCAAAUCUAAUUUUAAAAAUAUAAACAUAAAUUAUUGAAAAAAUAAUGUUGCACAACAAAAAAAAAAAAUAUAUAUAUAGGUAUAUAUUAUUUAACACUUGUGAUUACAAAUUCACAGGUGACAAGCUAUUGAAUACAAUUUAAAAUUGUCAACUUUAAAUCAUUAUUUUUGAUACAAAGCCAUUAUUUUUGACAGGGGGCGGAUACAAAGGGAGGAGGGACAGCAUCUAAGUACUUUAAAAAUAGGACAUAAUAAAUUAUAUAAAUUUUAACUUGUAUUAAAAAUACAUUCUUAACACUUAUGAAGAGUGUAUUUUUAAUCUAAGUACAACAAAAGAACUAAAUAUAAAAUACUAAAUACUAGGGUUGGAACGUAUAAUACAGUGAAGUAUAAAACAUUAUUAUAUGCAUGUAUAAAACGUAUACAACUAAUAGUUUUAUACUGUGUACAAUUUUUUUUUUUUGGCUGCAAUUGAACAGAAGUUAUCAGAUAAAAUAAUUGUCAAUUGAAUUUAAUCAUAAUUUUAUACUAAUCUUAUACUAAUUACCUAAGAUAC